GGAAUCUUCCACAAUGGACGAAAGUCUGAUGGAGCAACGCCGCGUGAGUGAAGAAGGGUUUCGGCUCGUAAAACUCUGUUGUUGAAGAAGAACAUAUCUGAGAGUAACUGUUCAGGUAUGGACGGUAUUUAACCAGAAAGCCACGGCUAACUACGUGCCAGCAGCCGCGGUAAUACGUAUGUCCCGAGCGUUAUCCGGAUUUAUUGGGCGUAAAGCGAGCGCAGACGGUUGAUUAAGUCUGAUGUGAAAGCCCGGAGCUCAACUCCGGAAUGGCAUUGGAAACUGGUUAACUUGAGUGCAGUAGAGGUAAGUGGAACUCCAUGUGUAGCGGUGGAAUGCGUAGAUAUAUGGAAGAACACCAGUGGCGAAGGCGGCUUACUGGACUGUAACUGACGUUGAGGCUCGAAAGUGUGGGUAGCAAACA
This 424-nucleotide ribosomal RNA is filed under the name uncultured bacterium. RNAcentral's name for it is "bacterial SSU rRNA". It matches the Rfam family "Bacterial small subunit ribosomal RNA", at positions 358 to 774 of the family's 1533-position model. The record is from RNAcentral.